Molecule: ribosomal RNA, 428 nt
Filed under: uncultured archaeon
Lineage: Archaea
Description: bacterial SSU rRNA
Rfam family: Archaeal small subunit ribosomal RNA
Source: RNAcentral
UACCUGCAGCUCAAGUGGUGACCGCUAUUAUUGGGCCUAAAACGUUCGUAGCCGGUUUGGUAAAUGCCUGGGUAAAUUGUGUAGCUUAACUAUACAAAUUCCGGGUAGACUGCCAAACUUGAGACCGGGAGAAGCUAGAGGUACUCCUGGGGUAGAGGUGAAAUUCUGUAAUCCUGGGGGGACCACCAGUGGCGAAGGCGUCUAGCUAGAACGGGUUUGACGGUGAGGAACGAAGCCCUGGGGCGCAAACCGGAUUAGAUACCCGGGUAGUCCAGGGUGUAAACGCUGCUUGCUUGAUGUUAGUUGGGCUCCGAGCCCAAUUAGUGUCGGAGGGAAGUUGUUAAGCAAGCUGCCUGGGAAGUACGAUCGCAAGAUUGAAACUUAAAGGAAUUGGCGGGGAGCACAGCAACGGGUGGAGCGUGCGGUUU